Molecule: ribosomal RNA, 120 nt
Filed under: Helianthus annuus (common sunflower)
Lineage: Eukaryota; Viridiplantae; Streptophyta; Magnoliopsida; Asterales; Asteraceae
Source: RNAcentral
AGUUGCGAUCAUACCAGCACUAAUGCACCGGAUCCCAUCAGAACUCCGCAGUUAAGCGUGCUUGGGCGAGAGUAGUACUAGGAUGGGUGACCCCCCUGGGAAGUCCUCGUGUUGCAACCC